RNAcentral lists this ribosomal RNA (554 nucleotides) under Rhodoplanes sp. JA760. RNAcentral describes it as "bacterial SSU rRNA". It matches the Rfam family "Bacterial small subunit ribosomal RNA", at positions 8 to 606 of the family's 1533-position model. Lineage: Bacteria; Pseudomonadati; Pseudomonadota; Alphaproteobacteria; Hyphomicrobiales; Nitrobacteraceae. The record is from RNAcentral.
AGAGUUUGAUCCUGGCUCAGAGCGAACGCUGGCGGCAGGCUUAACACAUGCAAGUCGAACGGGCGCAGCAAUGCGUCAGUGGCAGACGGGUGAGUAACACGUGGGAACGUGCCUUUCGGUUCGGAACAACUGAGGGAAACUUCAGCUAAUACCGGAUAAGCCCGCAAGGGGAAAGAUUUAUCGCCGAAAGAUCGGCCCGCGUCUGAUUAGCUAGUUGGUGGGGUAAUGGCCCACCAAGGCGACGAUCAGUAGCUGGUCUGAGAGGAUGAUCAGCCACACUGGGACUGAGACACGGCCCAGACUCCUACGGGAGGCAGCAGUGGGGAAUAUUGGACAAUGGGGGAAACCCUGAUCCAGCCAUGCCGCGUGAGUGAUGAAGGCCCUAGGGUUGUAAAGCUCUUUCGGUGGGGAAGAUAAUGACGGUACCCACAGAAGAAGCCCCGGCUAACUUCGUGCCAGCAGCCGCGGUAAUACGAAGGGGGCUAGCGUUGCUCGGAAUCACUGGGCGUAAAGCGCACGUAGGCGGCUUUCUAAGUCAGGGGUGAUAUGACCUU